AUGCUCACUUUGGCAGCACAUACACUAAAAAUUGAAAUGAUACACAGUUAGCAUGGCCCUAGCAUGAGGAUGACGUGCAAAAUCAGGAACAUUUCAUUUUUUAU
Suncus etruscus (white-toothed pygmy shrew) is the source of this 104-nucleotide small nuclear RNA. The record is from RefSeq and is a predicted model, not a curated record. NCBI's taxonomy places the organism in Eukaryota, Metazoa, Chordata, Mammalia, Eulipotyphla, Soricidae.